ACGACCUUACUUGAACAGGAUCUGUUCUAUAGGCUUGUACCACUGAAUCCUUUAUUUCUAAGGAGACAGGAAACCAAGUCUGGUUGAUGAAGCAUGGCCAUGUGACCAGAGCGUGAUUAACAACCAACCAUGGCUCUUCGAGCUGUGGUUGCAGUAGAUGAUUGUUCUUAGGCCUGAGAUAACCAAGUCUGGUUGAUGAAGCAUGACCAUGUGACCAGAGC
Molecule: small nucleolar RNA, 221 nt
Organism: Solanum verrucosum
Lineage: Eukaryota; Viridiplantae; Streptophyta; Magnoliopsida; Solanales; Solanaceae
Product: small nucleolar RNA U3
Exons: 1
Source: RefSeq, a predicted model, not a curated record